AGUGAACGCUGGCGGUAGGCCUAACACAUGCAAGUCGAACGGCAGCACAGUAAGAGCUUGCUCUUACGGGUGGCGAGUGGCGGACGGGUGAGGAAUACAUCGGAAUCUACUUUUUCGUGGGGGAUAACGUAGGGAAACUUACGCUAAUACCGCAUACGACCUACGGGUGAAAGCAGGGGAUCUUCGGACCUCGCGCGAUUGAAUGAGCCGAUGUCGGAUUAGCUAGUUGGCGGGGUAAAGGCCAACCAAGGCGACGAUCCGUAGCUGGUCUGACAGGAUGAUCAGCCACACUGGAACUGAGACACGGUCCAGACUCCUACGGGAGGCAGCAGUGGGGAAUAUUGGACAAUGGGCGCAAGCCUGAUCCAGCCAUACCGCGUGGGUGAAGAAGGCCUUCGGGUUGUAAAGCCCUUUUGUUGGGAAAGAAAAGCAGCAGGAUAAUACCCCGCUGUUCUGACGGUACCCAAAGAAUAAGCACCGGCUAACUUCGUG
This 492-nucleotide ribosomal RNA is filed under the name uncultured bacterium. RNAcentral's name for it is "partial 16S ribosomal RNA". It matches the Rfam family "Bacterial small subunit ribosomal RNA", at positions 29 to 507 of the family's 1533-position model. The record is from RNAcentral.